This 277-nucleotide ribosomal RNA is filed under the name uncultured Methanomicrobiales archaeon. RNAcentral's name for it is "partial 16S ribosomal RNA". It matches the Rfam family "Archaeal small subunit ribosomal RNA", at positions 319 to 594 of the family's 1478-position model. The record is from RNAcentral. Lineage: Archaea; Methanobacteriati; Methanobacteriota; Methanomicrobia; Methanomicrobiales.
GGCCCUACGGGGCGCAGCAGGCGCGAAAACUCUACAAUGCAGGCAACUGCGAUAGGGGAACAUCGAGUGAUACUCAUUUUGGGUGUCUGUCCUCCCGUCUAAAAAAACGGGCAGUUAGCAAGGGCCGGGCAAGACCGGUGCCAGCCGCCGCGGUAAUACCGGCGGCUCGAGUGGUGGCCGAUAUUAUUGAGUCUAAAGGGUCCGUAGCCGGCUUUGCAAGUCUUUUGGGAAAUCCAGCGGCUUAACCGUUGGUCGUCCGGGAGAUACUACAUUGCUU